This 66-nucleotide transfer RNA is filed under the name bovine gut metagenome. It matches the Rfam family "tRNA". From Rfam's summary of the family: Transfer RNA (tRNA) molecules are approximately 80 nucleotides in length. Their secondary structure includes four short double-helical elements and three loops (D, anti-codon, and T loops). Further hydrogen bonds mediate the characteristic L-shaped molecular structure. tRNAs have two regions of fundamental functional importance: the anti-codon, which is responsible for specific mRNA codon recognition, and the 3' end, to which the tRNAs corresponding amino acid is attached (by aminoacyl-tRNA synthetases). tRNAs cope with the degeneracy of the genetic code in two manners: having more than one tRNA (with a specific anti-codon) for a particular amino acid; and 'wobble' base-pairing, i.e. permitting non-standard base-pairing at the 3rd anti-codon position. The record is from RNAcentral.
GGAUUAGCUCAGCCGGUAGAGCAGCUCAUUCGUAAUGAGCAGGUCGUGGGUUCGAGUCCCAUUUCC